RNA transcript from Globicephala melas (long-finned pilot whale), 4822 nucleotides. It is a transcript of the gene named enoyl-CoA hydratase domain containing 2, with no coding region annotated. The record is from RefSeq and is a predicted model, not a curated record. NCBI's taxonomy places the organism in Eukaryota, Metazoa, Chordata, Mammalia, Artiodactyla, Delphinidae.
GGCGGCGCGGUUUACGAAGGCCUGGGGCUGAGCGGCAAGCUUUCAGCCGGAGAGGAGGGGGUGGUGGAGGAGCCGAGAGGCACCUUCCCAGACUGGUCCGAAUGCUGCGCGUCCUGACCAGCGCCCUGCGCCUUCCGAGCCCCCGGAGGCCCCUUGAGGCCCGUGGCUGCGCCGCCAAUCUCGCGGCCGCAAACCGCGAGAUCCAAGUGUGCGCUCUGGCGGGUCCAGACCAAGGAAUCACUGAGAUUUUGAUGAACAGACCAAGCGCCCGCAAUGCCCUGGGGAACGUCUUCGUUAGUGAGCUGCUGGAAGCUCUGGCCCAGCUGCGGGAGGACCGGCAAGUGCGUGUCCUGAUUUUCAGAAGUGGAGUGAAGGGUGUAUUCUGUGCAGGUGCAGACCUGAAGGAGCGGGAGCAGAUGAGUGAGGCGGAGGUGGGGGUCUUUGUCCAGCGGCUCCGAGGCCUGAUGAAUGAGAUUGCAGCCUUCCCUGCGCCCACCAUUGCAGCUAUGGAUGGGUUUGCCUUAGGUGGAGGCCUGGAACUCGCCCUGGCCUGUGACCUCCGAGUGGCAGCUUCCUCAGCUGUCAUGGGGCUGAUUGAGACCACCCGAGGACUCCUCCCAGGAGCAGGAGGGACUCAGAGGCUGCCUCGAUGCCUGGGGGUGGCCCUGGCGAAGGAGCUCAUCUUCACAGGCCGACGACUGAGCGGGUCACAGGCCCAGGCUCUGGGGCUGGUGAACCAUGCUGUGGCCCAGAAUGAGGAGGGCAACGCCGCCUACCACCGGGCACGAGCACUGGCCCAGGAGAUCCUGCCCCAGGCCCCCACUGCUGUGCGGCUGGGCAAAGUAGCCAUUGACCGAGGAACAGAGGUGAGAGGGUUUUGGGUUGGAACCUGGGUCCCACUAAAGUCAGUGGGGCGGCUGGGAGGUGGUGCUUUCAUGGCAAACAGAUGGACAGCACAGCGGGAAAGAGCUCGGGAACUGGACUCUUCUAACAGACUUUGAGUCUGACCUCUCUCUUUGUGCCUUGCUUUUACCUACCUACAAAAUGAGGUUUGGCCAGGUGAUAUUCCAAAUGACAUUUUAUCCUCAUCUCUCUCCCUUGGAGAGAGAAGGAAAUUGAGGUUCAGAAAGGGUAAGACUUAUCCAGGGUCCCAGAACAAGGGAGUAACAAGAAUCCAGGUCUGCGUGGCUCCCAGUCCAUGUUCUCGGGUUUGUGUUGGUCAGUAAUGUGGCCUCGUGGACCGGGCUCAGGUGUGGGGCCUUGGCUGCAGCUAACCCAUCCUAGACAUCAGCUUAUUCAUUCAUUCAUCACACACUGAACCUAGACCUGAACUGGGACACAGAAAUGAGUCAAAUAUGGUCACUGCCCCCAAGGUGGGGAGGGGGACGGACACAAAUCACUAAUAAAGGGUCAAGGGUACCAAGCAGACACCCUGGAGAGGUGAGAGCUGCACUGUCCAUGUGGCUACUGGCUACGGUAUUGGACAGUGCUGAGUUGGAGAAUGUUUUCUAGAACUGGGGCUUAGGGUGGAUGAGAAUUCCAAAAAAUAGGGACAAGUGUGAGGAAAAACACAGAGGUGUAUAAAUAAGCAACUUGACAGAACAGGACGAAGGGACGAGUGAGACAACAUAGCAUGGAGGUUAGGGGCAUAGGCUCUGGUGCUGGACCAUCUGGGUUCAAAGACCUGCUUUUCCACAUACUGUUGUGCCCUUAGACAAAUCAUUCCACCUUUCUAUGCCUCAGAUUCUUCAGCUGUACAGUAGGGAAAAUAACCCCUGUUGGGAAAGGUACUUCUCUUAAAAUAGUGCUUGUAAGUGGUAGUAAUAGCAAGUACUGUGCAGUAUAGGCUGGGAAGUUGCCAGGGGCCAAGUCAUAAAGGCCUUAGUCCUCAGGGCAAUGGGAAGCCAGUACAGUUCACUAAUAGGGGUGACAGGAGGCAUGGGGAGGCAGCCGGACGGCAAGGAGGGAACACUGGCUGUGCAAGCACAGCUCAGGCACACCCUCCUCAGCUCUACAGGCUAUGUGUCAUCCUCCCCGCUGUUCUCACAGCCCGCAUUCGUCCCAGCACUGUUUCACCACUGUUAUGAAUGGUAUUCCCUCUCCAGGUAGGGGAUUCCUUAUCAUCUCAUCUCUCUUCAUAUGGGCUGGCAUACAGUAAGCCUCAAUAAUUCUUUGCUGGAAGAAUCCAUAAUCAGUAAGAAGUGGUGUAGGAAGUAGGACUAGCUGGCGCCCCGUGCUGAUGGGGAUGGGCAAGGUCAGGGUGAUCCACGCACAACUUCUUUCUUGCAGGUGGACAUUGCAUCAGGGAUGGCCAUUGAAGGGAUAUGCUAUGCCCAGAACAUCCCGACCCGGGAUCGGCUGGAAGGCAUGGCUGCCUUCAGGGAGAAGCGGCCCCCUAGAUUUGUUGGCGAGUGACUUCCCUUGAACCUUACGCAUGGGAGAUGCACACCUUACAGGGAAGGAUCCGGAAGGAAAACGUGCAGCGCGCCUGCCCUCCUCAUUUCACCUCUAGGCUUCAGUUUCCUCACAAGAACGAUGAUCGAUAUAGAGUGACUGGCACGGUGCCUGGCACGAAGGUGCUGACUAUGCCACCUACCGCUACCUUCAUCAUUCCUCACCCAGGCUAGACAAUCACUGGCGUCGGGUUGGCUUUGGAGAAUACCUGUCUCUCCCUAAUAGAACGAUCAACUAAGGACAAAACAGACCCCUCUGGGCCUUUAUAUCGCUGGCACUCAAGCCUGACCUCUGCCUCUCAGUUAUUAGGUGCUCACCAGAGAUGAGAGGAGGUUGUAAGAACCACCCUCAACUGCCCUGUUUCUUCCUCUGUACAACAGAGAUAAUAAGGAAACCCUGGCAGUGGUUGAAUAGGCCCAGCUCUCUGCCAGUUACUCACUGUGUGCCUCAGCCUCCUCAUCUAUAAUGAAACUGUUGGGAGGACUAAACAAAUAAUAAAACGCCUGAUGUUCAAUAAACGUGAGUUAUUAUGCAUGUACAGUGUUCUUCUAAGAACCAGAUGAAAUCACUGCUGUGAAAACCUUUUGUAAACUGUAACGUGGCAGGCAAAUCUUUGAUGGAGCAUUAAAUAGCUUUCAGGAGUGCUGAGAAGGGAACGAUUAACUCUGAUGGACAACACGGAAGGUCAGGAAAUGGGCAGGUAACACUGGAGUUGAAAGCGGAAGGAUCAAUAGGCAUUUGAGGCGAAAAACAGGAAGCCUGAGGGGAACAGCACGAGCAAAAGUGAGCAAGAUGACGACACUGAGAAAUAAAGGUUGGUGAUAUGCACAUGUGCACACUAGUCUCAGGAGCCCUCCUUCUGUGCCCCAAGGCAGGGGAAGAGACAGCCACGUGGUCAUUCUUUAACUGACCUGAGCUUUCUGCGCCUACGCCUGGCCAGACUCAGAAGUCACUAAGCCACGGGCACGGACACAUACCAAUAACACUGUUGACUUGCUGCUAAAUACUAAUGUGCCCCAAAGUUGUGCUCAUUUCCUGAAAGGGAGAGUAACACAGAAGAGCCCAAGUCUUCGAAUCAGCAGCAACCGCAUGAGCAGCAUCUAUCUACUCAGGAAAGUAACCUGAACUUCUUCUUUCUCAUCUGUUAAAUAGGGAGGAUAAAACUCAACUAUCACAGAGGAUUGUUGUGAAUGAGACAAAACUUGGAGAGGUGCCCAGUGUAGAACUGGACCUCAGCAGGCACUAUUUCCCACCCACCCUCCUCCCAUUAGCCUAAGCUAGUAUCUGGAACAGCAUGUUCCAACGCACGGAACUCAGGUCAGGAAAGUCAGACAGCCUUUUGAAUCAUGCAAAAGAGUGAAUGAGAGAAAAUACUGUGUAGUUGCAGGACUGUAGAAGGAAGCAGAUUACAAAUUCCUCUUAUCCAGUCACCAGUGAGCAAUAGUUUGAAAAAUGGUUUAGAAUAAGAAUAAGCCUCAUCUGAUUCCAAACAAAGGUAUACAGCAUUCCAGUUAAGAGUCUGGCCAGCUAACAGCACAAAAAUCUAGUCCUAAAAUAAGCUACUAAUUCAGAAAGGAAUUUAUUUCUUUGAAAAACUUAAACAGAUGAAUGGUAAAACAUGUUUUGUUAGUUGUCAAUAAUAAGGUGAGGAAGGACUUCAUACUCUAUUCCACAGAGUGGGUUUGCAGAGGACACAAACCAAAGCUUCUGAUAGUUUAUACUGUGGAUGAGGCUGGUUCUCAGAGAAGCUCACUAUUUUCCUCAUCUCCAUAUUAGGUAAGAGCACCUCUUCACACGUCUGGCACAGCCCUUCCUUUUCCUCUCAGUUUUGGUCACAGUCAUAACUCAAAUUAAAAAUUUGAGGGAUUGAGGGAUUGAGAUUUAUAAUCCCCAUAUAAUCUUUCAUCUGAACACUAUUCUCAGUCCUAACUCGGACCAUGCCCCACCAGCACACCCAAUCACAUACAAUGUUACGCUUACUCAGUCUAACGUGUAACGCUGGAGGAAGGAAGGUCAAAGGUAGACUAUCCAAAAUCAUAAACAUAUAUUUCUCUUCCCUCCACCCAACGAGUGGAAGGUACUCUGGUAUCUAUUAAAAAUAAUUUUUUUUCCUCCCCCCAAUAGAAGUUCUGCCUUCCAAACAAUACAUUUAUACGUGUAUGUUUCCUAGAACUUUUUCAUGUACUUCUUUUCCAGUGGCUUCAUAUAACCAGGAAUAACAGCUUAGGAGAUUCUUUCAAACAUGAAAUUUAAUAAUAAAUAUCAAAGUUUCCCCGUAAGUCUUUCUUUUUCCUUUCCUCUGACGAACACUCAGAGUUAAGAAAUUGGUCGGGGCUAGAGAAAAGUAACUGGCAUAGCUGUUCCAACA